This 253-nucleotide ribosomal RNA is filed under the name uncultured bacterium. RNAcentral's name for it is "partial 16S ribosomal RNA". It matches the Rfam family "Bacterial small subunit ribosomal RNA", at positions 524 to 776 of the family's 1533-position model. The record is from RNAcentral.
UACGAGGGGGGCAAGCGUUGUUCGGAAUUAUUGGGCGUAAAGGGCGCGUAGGCGGUGCGGUAAGUCACCUGUGAAACCUCUAGGCUUAACCUAGAGCCUGCAGGCGAAACUGCCGUGCUUGAGGGUGGGAGAGGUGCGUGGAAUUCCCGGUGUAGCGGUGAAAUGUGUAGAGAUCGGGAGGAACACCGGUGGCGAAGGCGGGUCUCUGGGCAAUUCCUGACGCUGAGGCGCGAAAGCGUGGGGAGCAAACGGG